GAUGAACGCUGGCGGCGUGCCUAAUACAUGCAAGUCGAGCGAACAGACGAGGAGCUUGCUCCUCUGACGUUAGCGGCGGACGGGUGAGUAACCCGUGGAUAACCUACCUAUAAGACUGGGAUAACUUCGGAAAACCGGAGCUAAUACCGGAUAAUAUAUUGAACCGCAUGGUUCAAUAGUGAAAGACGGUUUUGCUGUCACUUAUAGAUGGAUCCGCGCCGCAUUAGCUAGUUGGUAAGGUAACGGCUUACCAAGGCAACGAUGCGUAGCCGACCUGAGAGGGUGAUCGGCCACACUGGAACUGAGACACGGUCCAGACUCCUACGGGAGGCAGCAGUAGGGAAUCUUCCGCAAUGGGCGAAAGCUUGACGGAGCAACGCCGCGUGAGUGAUGAAGGUCUUCGGAUCGUAAAACUCUGUUAUUAGGGAAGAACAAAUGUGUAAGUAACUAUGCACGUCUUGACGGUACCUAAUCAGAAAGCCACGGCUAACUACGUG
This 497-nucleotide ribosomal RNA is filed under the name uncultured bacterium. RNAcentral's name for it is "partial 16S ribosomal RNA". It matches the Rfam family "Bacterial small subunit ribosomal RNA", at positions 28 to 507 of the family's 1533-position model. The record is from RNAcentral.